ACUGCGAAUGGCUCAUUAAAUCAGUUAUCGUUUAUUUGAUAGUACCUUACUACUUGGAUAACCGUGGUAAUUCUAGAGCUAAUACAUGCUGAAAACCCCGACUUCGGAAGGGAUGUAUUUAUUAGAUUAAAAAACCAAUGCCCCUUCGGGGCUCCCUGGUGAUUCAUAAUAACUGCUCGAAUCGCACGGCCUUGCGCCGGCGAUGGUUCAUUCAAAUCUCUGCCCUAUCAACUUUCGACGGCUGGGUCUUGGCCAGCCAUGGUGACAACGGGUAACGGAGGGUUAGGGCUCGACCCCGGAGAAGGAGCCUGAGAAACGGCUACUACAUCCAAGGAAGGCAGCAGGCGCGCAAAUUACCCAAUCCCGACGCGGGGAGGUAGUGACAAUAAAUACUGAUACAGGGCUCUUUUGGGUCUUGUAAUUGGAAUGAGUACAACUUAAUUCCCUUAACGAGGAACAAUUGGAGGGCAAGUCUGGUGCCAGCAGCCGCGGUAAUUCCAGCUCCAAUAGCGUAUAUUAAAGUUGUUGCAGUUAAAAAGCUCGUAGUUGAACCUUGGGCCUGGCUGGCCGGUCCGCCUCACCGCGUGCACUGGUCCGGCCGGGCCUUUCCCUCUGGGGAGCCGCAUGCCCUUCACUGGGCGUGCCGGGGAACCAGGACUUUUACUUUGAAAAAAUUAGAGUGUUCAAAGCAGGCUUAUGCUCGGAUACAUUAGCAUGGAAUAAUAGAAUAGGACGUGUGGUUCUAUUUUGUUGGUUUCUAGGACCGCCGUAAUGAUUAAUAGGGACAGUCGGGGGCAUCAGUAUUCAGUAGUCAGAGGUGAAAUUCUUGGAUCUACUGAAGACUAACUACUGCGAAAGCAUUUGCCCAAGGAUGUUUUUCAUUAAUCAGGAACGAAAGUUAGGGGAUCGAAGACGAUCAGAUACCGUCGUAGUCUUAACCAUAAACUAUGCCGACUAGGGAUUGGACGGUGUUAUUCUUUGACCCGUUCAGCACCUUGCACGCAAAGUACAAGUU
Molecule: ribosomal RNA, 1015 nt
Filed under: Esteya sp.
Lineage: Eukaryota; Fungi; Ascomycota; Sordariomycetes; Ophiostomatales; Ophiostomataceae
Description: SSU rRNA
Rfam family: Eukaryotic small subunit ribosomal RNA
Source: RNAcentral